AUGGUUUUGCUCCAGUGUUUGGGUUUCUUUGCGGCUGCUCAAGAUCAACCAGUUCUUCGGGAAGGCGAACCCCAAGGCUCCACCGCCCAGCCUGACUGACUGCAUUGGCACGGUGGACAGCAGGGCAGAAUCCAUUGACAAGAAGAUUUCUCGAUUGGAUGCUGAGCUAGUAAAGUAUAAGGAUCAGAUCAAGAAGAUGAGAGAGGGUCCUGCAAAGAAUAUGGUUAAGCAGAAAGCCUUGAAAGUUUUAAAGUAAAAGUGGAUGUAUGAGCAGCAGCAGGGCAAUCUUGAACAACAGCCAUUCAGCAUGGAACAAGCCAAUUAUACCAUCCAGUCAUUGAAGGACACCAAGACCACGGUUGAUGCUAUGAAACUGGGAGUAAAGGAAAUGAAGAAGGCAUACAAGCAACUGAAAAUCGACCAGAUUGAGGAUUUACAAGACCAGCUAGAGGAUAUGAUGGAAGAUGCAAAUGAAAUCCAAGAAGCACUGAUUCGCAGUUAUGGCACCCCAGAACUGGUUGAAGAUGACCUGCAAUUCCGGAACAUGUUCCCACUGACACAAAAAACAAGGAUAGAGUUCUUCUGGUGGAUGAAUUUGGAUUGCCACAGAUCCCUGCUUCAUAGAUCAGCAUCAUUCAAGUAUAUCUUAUAAAACAAACACAUAUUAUGGGACUAGGAAAUAUUUAUCUUUCCAAAUUUACCAUAACAGAUUUAUGUUUCUUUCCUUUCUUUGAAGGAAAGUUUAAUUACAUUGCUCUUUGAUUUUUUCCGUUAAGAGACUCAUUGUUUGGGAAAUGCUUUUUUUUUUUUUUUUUGUACUAAAAUUUGAUUCCUUUUUUUCUUAUGAAAAUUGC
Macaca mulatta (Rhesus monkey) is the source of this 854-nucleotide RNA transcript. RefSeq lists it as uncharacterized. The record is from RefSeq and is a predicted model, not a curated record. Lineage: Eukaryota; Metazoa; Chordata; Mammalia; Primates; Cercopithecidae.